CUACGUGCCAGCAGCCGCGGUAAUACGUAGGUGGCAAGCGUUGUCCGGAAUUAUUGGGCGUAAAGCGCGCGCAGGCGGAUCAGUCAGUCUGUCUUAAAAGUUCGGGGCUUAACCCCGUGAUGGGAUGGAAACUGCUGAUCUAGAGUAUCGGAGAGGAAAGUGGAAUUCCUAGUGUAGCGGUGAAAUGCGUAGAUAUUAGGAAGAACACCAGUGGCGAAGGCGACUUUCUGGACGAAAACUGACGCUGAGGCGCGAAAGCCAGGGGAGCGAACGGGAUUAGAUACCCUGGUAGUCCACGCCGUAAACGAUGAGUGCUAAGUGUUGGAGGGUUUCCGCCCUUCAGUGCUGCAGUUAACGCAUUAAGCACUCCGCCUGGGGAGUACGGCCGCAAGGUUAAAACUCAAAUGAAUUGACGGGGGCCCGCACAAGCGGAGGAACAUGUGGUUUAAUUCGAUGAUACGCGAGGAACCUUACCCGGGCUUGAAUUGCAGAGGAAUUAUUUAGAGAUA
This 509-nucleotide ribosomal RNA is filed under the name uncultured bacterium. RNAcentral describes it as "bacterial SSU rRNA". It matches the Rfam family "Bacterial small subunit ribosomal RNA", at positions 501 to 1008 of the family's 1533-position model. The record is from RNAcentral.